AUGCAGGACUAUUCAUCAUACGGGAAGGAACUGGUGGAGGUGUUGUCGGUACGUUAUAAAGGUCAGGGAGAUCCAAGCUGCACCAUCAUCGUCUACGAUGGUAAGCGCGGGCAGAUCAUCUACACACAAAGUGGCCAGGGCGACAUGAGAGUAUCUCACGAACAUUCAAAUUCUGGCACUCAGAAUGGAAGCAAUGAUCGCCGGCUUCUGCUGACGGGUCCUUAUCGAGUGAUCUCAAUGGAUGGGUGCGUUCUCAUCGAGUACAAUAUCGAUGAUCACUGCCAUGCUAAGAUACUUCUAGACAUUGAUGAUCCAUCCACAAAACAUGAUGAGGCCGUCACAGCCGAACUGGGUUGUACGUGUGAUAACCACCCCAAAGCAGUGGUCACGUACGCUCUUCUGAGCAACGCGGUAGAAGCCAUUGUUGAGGUGAAGCUCCACCAACGACGAGAUAAUACUUUCUAUGGGACGAUCAUUGCUUACAGUUAUCUAGGUGACGUCGUGCUCUUUGAAACAGACAAUGAGAAGACACUCAUUGGGUCGUCACAAGAGCCGACGAUUAUCCCAUUAGCUAGAUCGGUUCUUGCCGUGCCAUUGGAUUCGUCCCUACAGAUUGAAGUGGAUCUAUGGAAUCAUUCCAAUGGUAAGAUCGUGAAAGGCCUCGUGUCGUGUCAGGCCCACCUGAACAGCAAUCAUGUGGUGCACCUUGAUGGGGAGAAUGGUCAGGUGGAUGUGAAGAUCACAUGGUCAGACUAA
This 756-nucleotide ribosomal RNA is filed under the name Triticum aestivum (bread wheat). RNAcentral describes it as "partial small subunit ribosomal RNA". The record is from RNAcentral. Lineage: Eukaryota; Viridiplantae; Streptophyta; Magnoliopsida; Poales; Poaceae.